UACAGAGGUCCCAAGCGCUGUUCGGAUUUACUGGGCGUAAAGGGUGCGUAGGCGGUGGGGUAAGCUUGAGGUGAAAGCUCCGGGCUCAACCCGGAAAAUGCCUUGAAUACUAUCCCGCUAGAGGGUUGGAGGGGAGACUGGAAUUCUCGGUGUAGCAGUGAAAUGCGUAGAUCUCGGGAGGAACGCCAGUGGCAAAGGCGGGUCUCUGGACAACACCUGACGCUGAGGCACGAAAGCCAGGGGAGCAAACGGG
RNAcentral lists this ribosomal RNA (253 nucleotides) under uncultured bacterium. RNAcentral's name for it is "partial 16S ribosomal RNA". It matches the Rfam family "Bacterial small subunit ribosomal RNA", at positions 524 to 776 of the family's 1533-position model. The record is from RNAcentral.